This 557-nucleotide ribosomal RNA is filed under the name uncultured bacterium. RNAcentral's name for it is "bacterial SSU rRNA". It matches the Rfam family "Bacterial small subunit ribosomal RNA", at positions 102 to 694 of the family's 1533-position model. The record is from RNAcentral.
ACGGGUGAGUAACGCGUGGGAACAUACCUCUUGGUUCGGAACAACACAGGGAAACUUGUGCUAAUACCGGAUAAGCCCUUACGGGGAAAGGUUUAUCGCCGAGAGAUUGGCCCGCGUCUGAUUAGCUAGUUGGUGGGGUAAAGGCCUACCAAGGCGACGAUCAGUAGCUGGUCUGAGAGGAUGAUCAGCCACAUUGGGACUGAGACACGGCCCACACUCCUACGGGAGGCAGCAGUGGGGAAUAUUGGACAAUGGGCGCAAGCCUGAUCCAGCCAUGCCGCGUGAGUGAUGAAGGCCCUAGGGUUGUAAAGCUCUUUUGUACGGGAAGAUAAUGACGGUACCGUAAGAAUAAGCCCCGGCUAACUUCGUGCCAGCAGCCGCGGUAAUACGAAGGGGGCUAGCGUUGCUCGGAAUCACUGGGCGUAAAGGGUGCGUAGGCGGGUUUUUAAGUCAGAGGUGAAAUCCUGGAGCUCAACUCCAGAACUGCCUUUGAUACUGAAAGUCUUGAGUAUGGGAGAGGUGAGUGGAACUGCGAGUGUAGAGGUGAAAUUCGUAGA